RNAcentral lists this ribosomal RNA (376 nucleotides) under uncultured eukaryote. RNAcentral's name for it is "partial 18S ribosomal RNA". It matches the Rfam family "Eukaryotic small subunit ribosomal RNA", at positions 592 to 975 of the family's 1831-position model. The record is from RNAcentral.
CAAUAGCGUAUAUUUAAGUUGUUGCAGUUAAAAAGCUCGUAGUUGGAUUUCGGGCGGGUGACGGCGGUCCGCCUCUGGUGUGCACUGCCGGCAUCCGCCUUUCUGUCGGGGACGGGCUCCUGGGCUUCAUUGCUUGGGACUCGGGUUCGACGUGGUUACUUUGAGUAAAUUAGAGUGUUCAAAGCAGGCGAUCGCCCUGAAUACAUUAGCAUGGAAUAGCACGAUAGGACUCUGGCCUAUUUUGCUGGUCUGUAGGACCGGAGUAAUGAUUAAGAGGGACAGUCGGGGGCAUUCGUAUUUCAUUGUCAGAGGUGAAAUUCUUGGAUUUAUGAAAGACGAACUUCUGCGAAAGCAUUUGCCAAGGAUGUUUUCAUUG